CCCGCCGGUUCCCGUCAAAAGGCGGCACCGGGAAGGUGGGGGGGGGCGGCGGUGCCAGGAACGAAGUGACUUUCCAUCCGUUGGAGGUGGGACUGCCUGGAUCAGUGAGUUCCCAGCACAAAGAAGACAAAGGAAUCCAUGGUGUCUGCCCGGGACCUGCUGACGUGACUCCUGAGUGACUCCUGAGUGACUCCUGAGCUCCCCGGGUCACCGGGACGCCGGUG
Long non-coding RNA from Neopelma chrysocephalum (saffron-crested tyrant-manakin), 224 nucleotides. RefSeq lists it as uncharacterized. NCBI's taxonomy places the organism in Eukaryota, Metazoa, Chordata, Aves, Passeriformes, Pipridae. The record is from RefSeq and is a predicted model, not a curated record. The transcript is spliced from 3 exons.